AUGAAGGAUUCUUCUGAACCCCUACCCUACCCCGUCAAGGUAUGUGUUAUAUUGGCAGGAUAGGGAAUAUGCAUUACAGAAGUACAGGAUUUGACAUUGGGCAUGAAAGAUGGCGCAGCCCUAGGGUGACCACAAGCUAUACACCUCACGGUCUUUUUGAUGAAAGAAGAGACAAGUUGACCCUCUGCCCAUUUUCUUAUGGACCUCACCCUUCACACCAGCAAGGUCAUAGGACUGUGGCCUUGUUCCAAAUCAUCUGGGACAUGUCCUGCUCUCCACUUGCACUGUGUAGGAAACAGAGACUUGUUUGUGUGUCCCCAAUACCCAUAAGGAAGCCAGGCCUUAGGCCCAGGGGAGCAGUGGAGUUCCUGUUGGAAGCAGUGGUGAUAUUGCACUAA
Molecule: long non-coding RNA, 398 nt
Filed under: Papio anubis (olive baboon)
Lineage: Eukaryota; Metazoa; Chordata; Mammalia; Primates; Cercopithecidae
Description: lncRNA (ENSPANG00000040571.1)
Source: RNAcentral